UCGGAAACCGGAGCUAAUACCGGAUAAUAUAUUGAACCGCAUGGUUCAAUAGUGAAAGACGGUUUUGCUGUUACUUAUAGAUGGAUCCGCGCCGCAUUAGCUAGUUGGUAAGGUAACGGCUUACCAAGGCAACGAUGCGUAGCCGACCUGAGAGGGUGAUCGGCCACACUGGAACUGAGACACGGUCCAG
This 190-nucleotide ribosomal RNA is filed under the name uncultured Staphylococcus sp. RNAcentral describes it as "partial 16S ribosomal RNA". It matches the Rfam family "Bacterial small subunit ribosomal RNA", at positions 150 to 334 of the family's 1533-position model. Lineage: Bacteria; Bacillati; Bacillota; Bacilli; Caryophanales; Staphylococcaceae. The record is from RNAcentral.